RNAcentral lists this ribosomal RNA (497 nucleotides) under uncultured bacterium. RNAcentral describes it as "partial 16S ribosomal RNA". It matches the Rfam family "Bacterial small subunit ribosomal RNA", at positions 28 to 507 of the family's 1533-position model. The record is from RNAcentral.
GAUGAACGCUGGCGGCGUGCCUAAUACAUGCAAGUCGAGCGAACGGACGAGAAGCUUGCUUCUCUGAUGUUAGCGGCGGACGGGUGAGUAACACGUGGAUAACCUACCUAUAAGACUGGGAUAACUUCGGGAAACCGGAGCUAAUACCGGAUGAUAUUUUGAACCGCAUGGUUCAAAAGUGAAAGACGGUCUUGCUGUCACUUAUAGAUGGAUCCGCGCUGCAUUAGCUAGUUGGUAAGGUAACGGCUUACCAAGGCAACGAUGCAUAGCCGACCUGAGAGGGUGAUCGGCCCCACUGGAAGUGAGACACGGUCCAGACUCCUACGGGAGGCAGCAGUAGGGUAUCUUCCGCAAUGGGCGAAAGCCUGACGGAGCAACGCCGCGUGAGUGAUGAAGGUCUUCGGAUCGUAAAACUCUGUUAUUAGGGAAGAACAUAUGUGUAAGUAACUGUGCACAUCGUGACGGUACCUAAUCAGAAAGCCACGGCUAACUACGUG